This 460-nucleotide ribosomal RNA is filed under the name uncultured bacterium. RNAcentral's name for it is "partial 16S ribosomal RNA". It matches the Rfam family "Bacterial small subunit ribosomal RNA", at positions 338 to 795 of the family's 1533-position model. The record is from RNAcentral.
CCUACGGGAGACAGCAGUGAGGAAUAUUGGUCAAUGGCCGGAAGGCUGAACCAGCCAUGCCGCGUGAAGGACGAAGGUGCCAAGCAUUGUAAACUUCUUUUGUCAAGGGACAAAAUCAGGCUCGAGAGCCUGACCGACGGUACCUGACCAAGAAGCCCCGGCUAACUACGUGCCAGCAGCCGCGGUAAUACGUAGGGGGCAAGCGUUAUCCGGAUUUACUGGGUGUAAAGGGAGCGUAGACGGCAAGGCAAGUCUGGAGUGAAAGCCCGUGGCUCAACCACGGGACUGCUUUGGAAACUGUGUUGCUGGAGUGCAGGAGGGGUAAGCGGAAUUCCUAGUGUAGCGGUGAAAUGCGUAGAUAUUAGGAGGAACACCGGUGGCGAAGGCGGCUUACUGGACUGUAACUGACGUUGAGGCUCGAAGGCGUGGGGAGCAAACAGGAUUAGAUACCCUUGUAGUC